GGAAUAUUGGACAAUGGGGGGAACCCUGAUCCAGCGACGCCGCGUGAGUGAAGAAGUAUUUCGGUAUGUAAAGCUCUAUCAGCAGGGAAGAAAGAAAUGACGGUACCUGACUAAGAAGCCCCUGCUAACUACGUGCCAGCAGCCGCGGUAAAACGUAGGGGGCAAGCGUUAGCCGGAUUUACUGGGUGUAAAGGGAGCGUAGACGGUAGUGCAAGUCUGGAGUGAAAGGCGGGGGCCCAACCCCCGGACUGCUCUGGAAACUGUGCGACUAGAGUGCAGGAGAGGUAAGUGGAAUUCCUAGUGUAGCGGUGAAAUGCGUAGAUAUUAGGAGGAACACCAGUGGCGAAGGCGGCUUACUGGACUGUAACUGACGUUGAGGCUCGAAAGCGUGGGGAGCAAACAG
This 403-nucleotide ribosomal RNA is filed under the name uncultured bacterium. RNAcentral describes it as "bacterial SSU rRNA". It matches the Rfam family "Bacterial small subunit ribosomal RNA", at positions 358 to 775 of the family's 1533-position model. The record is from RNAcentral.